GAUGAACGCUAGCGGCAGGCCUAAUACAUGCAAGUCGAGGGGCAGCACGGUAGCAAUACUGGUGGCGACCGGCGCACGGGUGCGUAACACGUAUACAAUCUGCCUUUAACAGGGGGAUAGCCUUUCGAAAGAGAGAUUAAUACCCCAUAACACCAGAAGAAGCAUUUCUUUUGGUUGAAAGCUCCGGCGGUUAAAGAUGA
This 200-nucleotide ribosomal RNA is filed under the name uncultured bacterium. Its description in RNAcentral is "partial 16S ribosomal RNA". It matches the Rfam family "Bacterial small subunit ribosomal RNA", at positions 28 to 228 of the family's 1533-position model. The record is from RNAcentral.